CCCAGACUCCUACGGGAGGCAGCAGUGGGGAAUAUUGCACAAUGGGGGAAACCCUGAUGCAGCGACGCCGCGUGAGUGAGGAAGUAUUUCGGUAUGUAAAGCUCUAUCAGCAGGGAAGAAAAAAUGACGGUACCUGACUAAGAAGCACCGGCUAAAUACGUGCCAGCAGCCGCGGUAAUACGUAUGGUGCAAGCGUUAUCCGGAUUUACUGGGUGUAAAGGGAGCGCAGGCGGUACGGCAAGUCUGAUGUGAAAGCCCGGGGCUCAACCCCGGUACUGCAUUGGAAACUACCGGACUGGAGUGUCGGAGGGGUAAGUGGAAUUCCUAGUGUAGCGGUGAAAUGCGUAGAUAUUAGGAGGAACACCAGUGGCGAAGGCGGCUUACUGGACGAUCACUGACGCUGAGGCUCGAAAGUGUGGGGAGCAAACAGGAUUAGAUACCCUCGUAU
This 448-nucleotide ribosomal RNA is filed under the name uncultured bacterium. RNAcentral's name for it is "bacterial SSU rRNA". It matches the Rfam family "Bacterial small subunit ribosomal RNA", at positions 330 to 793 of the family's 1533-position model. The record is from RNAcentral.